UAGAUACCCCACUAUGCCUAGUCGUAAACCUAAGUAGUCCUGAAACAAGACUAUUCGCCAGAGUACUAUCGGCAACAGCCCAAAACUCAAAGGACUUGGCGGUGCUUCACAUCCCUCUAGAGGAGCCUGUUCUGUAAACGAUAAACCACGAUCAACCUCACCAGCCCUUGCUACUUCAGUCUAUAUACCGCCAUCUUCAGCAAACCCUAAAAAGGAAUAAAAGUAAGCAUAAUUACAGCACAUAAAAACGUUAGGUCAAGGUGUAACCUAUGGGUUGGGAAGAAAUGGGCUACAUUUUCUAUAACAAGAACACCCCUUAAACCCACACGAAAGUUUUUAUGAAAUCUAAAAACUAAAGGAGGAUUUAGCAGUAAAUUAAGAAUAGAAUGCUUAAUUGAAUAAGGCCAUGAANGCACGCACACACC
This 425-nucleotide ribosomal RNA is filed under the name Neophocaena phocaenoides (Indo-Pacific finless porpoise). RNAcentral's name for it is "partial 12S ribosomal RNA". It matches the Rfam family "Bacterial small subunit ribosomal RNA", at positions 779 to 1391 of the family's 1533-position model. Lineage: Eukaryota; Metazoa; Chordata; Mammalia; Artiodactyla; Phocoenidae. The record is from RNAcentral.